UACGAAGGGUGCAAGCGUUGCUCGGAAUUAUUGGGCGUAAAGGGUUGGUAGGUGGUCUUGUUUGUCUAAGGUGAAAUCCCAUGGCUUAACUGUGGAAGUGCCUUAGAAACGGCAAGACUAGAGUCCUAGAGGGGUGUGUGGAAUUCCCGGUGUAGCGGUGAAAUGCGUAGAGAUCGGGAGGAACACCAGCGGCGAAGGCGGCAAACUGGAUAGGCACUGACACUCAACAACGAAAGCGUGGGGAGCAAACAGG
This 253-nucleotide ribosomal RNA is filed under the name uncultured bacterium. RNAcentral describes it as "partial 16S ribosomal RNA". It matches the Rfam family "Bacterial small subunit ribosomal RNA", at positions 524 to 776 of the family's 1533-position model. The record is from RNAcentral.